CUUCUAUGACGUUAGCGGCGGACGGGUGAGUAACACGUGGGCAACCUGCCUGUAAGACUGGGAUAACUUCGGGAAACCGAAGCUAAUACCGGAUAGGAUCUUCUCCUUCAUGGGAGAUGAUUGAAAGAUGGUUUCGGCUAUCACUUACAGAUGGGCCCGCGGUGCAUUAGCUAGUUGGUGAGGUAACGGCUCACCAAGGCCACGAUGCAUAGCCGACCUGAGAGGGUGAUCGGCCACACUGGGACUGAGACACGGCCCAGACUCCUACGGGAGGCAGCAGUAGGGAAUCUUCCGCAAUGGACGAAAGUCUGACGGAGCAACGCCGCGUGAGUGAUGAAGGCUUUCGGGUCGUAAAACUCUGUUGUUAGGGAAGAACAAGUACAAGAGUAACUGCUUGUACCUUGACGGUACCUAACCAGAAAGCCACGGCUAACUACGUGCCAGCAGCCGCGGUAAUACGUAGGUGGCAAGCGUUAUCCGGAAUUAUUGGGCGUAAAGCGCGCGCAGGCGGUUUCUUAAGUCUGAUGUGAAAGCCCACGG
RNAcentral lists this ribosomal RNA (540 nucleotides) under Bacillus sp. 190(2013). RNAcentral's name for it is "bacterial SSU rRNA". It matches the Rfam family "Bacterial small subunit ribosomal RNA", at positions 81 to 607 of the family's 1533-position model. The record is from RNAcentral. Lineage: Bacteria; Bacillati; Bacillota; Bacilli; Caryophanales; Bacillaceae.